This 489-nucleotide ribosomal RNA is filed under the name uncultured bacterium. RNAcentral describes it as "partial 16S ribosomal RNA". It matches the Rfam family "Bacterial small subunit ribosomal RNA", at positions 30 to 507 of the family's 1533-position model. The record is from RNAcentral.
UUGAACGCUGGCGGCAGGCCUAACACAUGCAAGUCGAACGGUAACAGGAAGCAGCUUGCUGCUUCGCUGACGAGUGGCGGACGGGUGAGUAAUGUCUGGGAAACUGCCUGAUGGAGGGGGAUAACUACUGGAAACGGUAGCUAAUACCGCAUAACGUCGCAAGACCAAAGAGUGGGACCUUAGGGCCUCUUGCCAUCGGAUGUGCCCAGAUGGGAUUAGCUAGUAGGUGGGGUAACGGCUCACCUAGGCGACGAUCCCUAGCUGGUCUGAGAGGAUGACCAGCCACACUGGAACUGAGACACGGUCCAGACUCCUACGGGAGGCAGCAGUGGGGAAUAUUGCACAAUGGGCGCAAGCCUGAUGCAGCCAUGCCGCGUGUAUGAAGAAGGCCUUCGGGUUGUAAAGUACUUUCAGCGGGGAGGAAGGGAGUAAAGUUAAUACCUUUGCUCAUUGACGUUACCCGCAGAAGAAGCACCGGCUAACUCCGUG